Vicia faba (fava bean) is the source of this 261-nucleotide non-coding RNA. The record is from the annotation of a GenBank genome assembly. NCBI's taxonomy places the organism in Eukaryota, Viridiplantae, Streptophyta, Magnoliopsida, Fabales, Fabaceae.
AUGUCUCGAAUCUUGCCAACAAUUUCCUCCUUUAAUCUAAGUUUAUCCUCGUUUAAAUUAGACACCCAUCUCUCAAUCCACACCAACUCCUCUCCCUCCCUCCUAAACGAAUCUCUAACGGAAACUUAUUUGUCUAAAGCCAAGCUAUACAAACCGAUGUAUCCUUUCAUUAAACUUCUCCCUUCGACCCAAGGAUCGACCCAAAACCUAGUAUGCACUCCAUCUCCAAUUUCUCUAACAACAUUUUCCUUGAACCACUGA